RNAcentral lists this ribosomal RNA (381 nucleotides) under uncultured marine Chaetocerotaceae. Its description in RNAcentral is "SSU rRNA". It matches the Rfam family "Eukaryotic small subunit ribosomal RNA", at positions 587 to 972 of the family's 1831-position model. Lineage: Eukaryota; Bacillariophyta; Thalassiosirophyceae; Chaetocerotales; Chaetocerotaceae. The record is from RNAcentral.
AGCUCCAAUAGCGUAUAUUUUAGUUGUUGCAGUUAAAAAGCUCGUAGUUGCAUUUCCGAGGCAAGGGAUUAGUCCGACCUUUGGUGGGUAUUUAAUCCUCUUGCCUCGUCCUUGAGUGGUGCUUCUUGGUAUUAAGUUAUCGAGGAGAUAGCCGCUCAUCGUUUACUGUGAGAAAAUUAGAGUGUUCAAAGCAGGCUUAUGCCGUUGAAUAUAUUAGCAUGGAAUAAUAAGAUAGGACCUCGGUACUAUUUUGUUGGUUUGAGAACCAAGGUAAUGAUGAAUAGGGACAGUUGGGGGUAUUCGUAUUCAGUUGUCAGAGGUGAAAUUCUUAGAUUUACGGAAGACGAACUACUGCGAAAGCAUUUACCAAGGAUGUUUUCA